UUUGGCCCAGCUCUUCCCGGCGAAGUGCCCCCUGCACUACUGCGGGAUGAAAGGGGGUGACAAGGUCGAGAGCAAGCAGCUCA
Molecule: non-coding RNA, 83 nt
Filed under: Pelagomonas calceolata
Lineage: Eukaryota; Pelagophyceae; Pelagomonadales; Pelagomonadaceae
Source: RNAcentral